GGUGAACGCUGGCGGCGUGCCUAAGACAUGCAAGUCGAGCGGGGCAGGUUUAUACCUGUUCAGCGGCGGACGGGUGAGUAACGCGUGGGUGACCUACCCGGAAGAGGCGGACAACCUGGGGAAACCCAGGCUAAUCCGCCAUGUGGUCCUGUCCUGUGGGGCAGGACUAAAGGGUGGAUAGCCCGCUUCCGGAUGGGCCCGCGUCCCAUCAGCUAGUUGGUGGGGUAAAGGCCCACCAAGGCGACGACGGGUAGCCGGUCUGAGAGGAUGGCCGGCCACAGGGGCACUGAGACACGGGCCCCACGCCUACGGGAGGCAGCAGUUAGGGAUCGGCCGGAAUGGGCGCAAGCCUGACGGAGCGACGCCGCGUGGAGGAGGAAGGCCUGCGGGGUGUAAACUCGUGAACUGGGGACGAAAGCCCCGUGUAGGGGGAGGACGGGACCCAGGUAAGAGCGCCGGCCAACUCCGUG
RNAcentral lists this ribosomal RNA (470 nucleotides) under uncultured bacterium. Its description in RNAcentral is "partial 16S ribosomal RNA". It matches the Rfam family "Bacterial small subunit ribosomal RNA", at positions 28 to 507 of the family's 1533-position model. The record is from RNAcentral.